GCCUAGCUGGCUCAAUUCGUAGAGCAUGUGACUCCUGAUCUCAGGGCUGUGAGUUCAAGCCCCACAUUGGGCA
Molecule: non-coding RNA, 73 nt
Organism: Lutra lutra (Eurasian river otter)
Lineage: Eukaryota; Metazoa; Chordata; Mammalia; Carnivora; Mustelidae
Source: the annotation of a RefSeq genome assembly